Long non-coding RNA from Oreochromis aureus, 1231 nucleotides. Lineage: Eukaryota; Metazoa; Chordata; Actinopteri; Cichliformes; Cichlidae. The record is from Ensembl.
CAGCUGUGUCUCCCUCCUGUUUUCCAUUCCCUGAUUACUUCCCUGUGUAUAUUAGCCCUGUGUUUGCCCUUGCUCAGUGUCGUGUUGUACCCUCAGAAUUAUGCCUGUGUGUUUCAGUUCUCAGUGGUCUUUGUUCAGUUCAGUUCAGUUCAGUUCAGGUUUUUGUUUUCUCCAGCAAUAAAGCUGAGGUUUUUUUGAGUCGCUGUGUCCGAGUCCUGCAAUUGGAUCCUCAUCUCCGCCUGCCCGCACACAGAGCCCUGACAAUUCCAUAAAUAACAAGUGCGAAAAGCUCGGUCCCCCCAGUGUUUCAGUCUCGACAUGGGGACAGCAAGGAGUGACUGGUCAGUUGAUCUGAGAGACCUUUGUGGAGUGUAUAGGUGUGGAAGGUCUGACAGCUGUUUUACUGAGCCAUGAGCUCCAUGAAGAGAGUCCAGUGAUUCCACUAGAUGGAUCCUUCCAGCGUGAUCUCCAGGAUCCAGACCUGCACACACUCAGACUGCGGGGAUUUAUCUGCCUUGUAGGAGGAUCGCAUCACUCACCCCGACUGCACUUCAGGAUGGAAACACUGGUUUGGUCAAAGCACAAACUCUCACCCACAGAGCAGAGGAAGGAGGAAACAUCACAGUUGCAUGCUUCUUUGCUUUCCCUGGAAUCAGGAAACUGUUCUGUAAGGAAAAAUGUGAAAAUGGAAACAUUCUUGUUGAAACAUCUGAUGAUGCAGCUCAGAACGGCAGAUACAGCAUUAAAUAUGAACAAACAUAUAUUACCUCAUAUUCUACUCUGUAUGUGAGCAUCACACAGCUGAAACAGUCUGACUCAGGACGGUACAGGUGCUCUUUGGACAGAGUCUUGUGGGAUGGAAACGAUAAUUUUGAGCUGAUUGUCACAGAAGGUGAGUUUCUGCUAACAGUCGUGUUUGUCUUUGAAGGUGUGACAGAAGUUUCCCGUCUCAAAGGCAGCUACUUUUCUUUCAAAUCACCUACAGAUGUUAUAUUUAUCUGAAACAUCAAGUUUCAUCAGUUCUGCUGUCAAACAGCCCAUAACCACGUCAGUCACAUGCAGAUAUAUAAACUGCUUCAAGUGGUCUUAUUAUGACUCUGAUGGUUUCAUUGUUCACAGCUUCAACCACUUCAACACCAAACGGGACUCUGAGACCUUUUUCAGCUUCAGUGUUUCUCUCAUCAGCCUCCAAACCACCAACAACACAGAGUUUAAGCUCAACUUCAGGAAG